RNAcentral lists this ribosomal RNA (416 nucleotides) under uncultured bacterium. RNAcentral's name for it is "bacterial SSU rRNA". It matches the Rfam family "Bacterial small subunit ribosomal RNA", at positions 30 to 429 of the family's 1533-position model. The record is from RNAcentral.
AGUGAACGCUGGCGGCGUGGCUUAGGCAUGCAAGUCGAGCGAGAAACUGGGCUUCGGCUCAGGAGUAAAGCGGCGAACGGGUGAGUAACGCACGGCCAACCUACCCUCGAGAUAGGGAUAACACCCCGAAAGGGGUGCUAAUACCUAAUGGACUCCGGAGACCGCAUGAUGUCUGGAGUAAAGGUAGCUAGGGCAACCUAGCCUCCGCUCGGGGAGGGGGCCAUGUCCUAUCAGCUAGUUGGUGAGGUAAUGGCUUACCAAGGCGACGACGGGUAGCCGGGCUGAGAGGCUGUCCGGCCACACUGGGACUGAGACACUGCCCAGACUCCUACGGGAGGCUGCAGUCGAGAAUCUUCCGCAAUGGGCGAAAGCCUGACGGAGCGACGCCGCGUGAGGGAUGAAGGCCUGGUUGUAAC